This 69-nucleotide non-coding RNA is filed under the name Paenibacillus senegalensis. RNAcentral describes it as "ZMP/ZTP riboswitch". It matches the Rfam family "ZMP/ZTP riboswitch aptamer (pfl RNA motif)", at positions 6 to 81 of the family's 86-position model. Rfam says of the family: Previously known as pfl RNA. ZMP is also known as AICAR. The record is from RNAcentral. Lineage: Bacteria; Bacillati; Bacillota; Bacilli; Caryophanales; Paenibacillaceae.
CAUGUGUAACUGGCGGAGCGUGGGGAACCACGGGGGAGCACAUGGAACAAUAGCCGUACGCCUGGGCAC